UAUGGCUAUAUCAUGUUGAAACACUGGAUCUCAUAUAAUCACUGAAGUUAAGCAACCUUGAACCUGAUCAGUACAUAGAUGGGUGACCGCUUGAGUAUAUUGGGUGUUGUAAG
Molecule: non-coding RNA, 113 nt
Organism: Acanthosepion pharaonis
Lineage: Eukaryota; Metazoa; Mollusca; Cephalopoda; Sepiida; Sepiidae
Source: the annotation of a GenBank genome assembly